Molecule: ribosomal RNA, 305 nt
Filed under: uncultured bacterium
Lineage: Bacteria
Description: bacterial SSU rRNA
Rfam family: Bacterial small subunit ribosomal RNA
Source: RNAcentral
UCCUACGGGGCGCAGCAGUGAGGAAUAUUGGUCAAUGGUCGGGAGACUGAACCAGCCAAGCCGCGUGAGGGAUGAAGGUACAGAGUAUCGUAAACCUCUUUUGUCAGGGAACAAAGGCGGGGACGCGUCCCCGGAUGAGUGUACCUGAAGAAAAAGCAUCGGCUAACUCCGUGCCAGCAGCCGCGGUAAUACGGAGGAUGCGAGCGUUAUCCGGAUUUAUUGGGUUUAAAGGGUGCGCAGGCGGUCUGUUAAGUCAGCGGUCAAAGCCCGGGGCUCAACCCCGGCCCGCCGUUUAAACUGGCAGG